UAAAUAACUAUCUCCCACAGAUGUUCAUUGUGAGCUGGGUGUUUUGGUCUUGUUUAUGCCACAUCACCAAGUACAUACACAGGCUCGUCACAAGGAAAACCUUCAAUGAUACUGAUAGUGCAACACUCCAGAAGACUGCAGAACAGCUGGAGUAAACUUCUAGCCCUUAUUCUUGGCAAUUACACAAACAGCUGUCUCCAUGACCAAGGAAUUACCACAGCUUCUGGGAAAAGCCAAGCAUGCAGUCGGAGCCCAACAAGCCAGUACUCUGUGUUGAAGUUUAAUUAAGCCACCUACUGAGAAAACUACCAUGGGGGAAGAUCUACUCUGAGUGUGAGAUUUUCAAACCAGUGGAUAGCAUCCAGGGAAGACAGCAGUUUCGACACCCAAUGUAUUUGCCCUAGUUCCUAUGAAUUACAUGCCCUACUUCUUAUGAAAUAUGCAUACUGAAAGCUCAGUUAGGAGUAAUGUUUGCAAAUUUGUUAGUUACAAUGCUGAAAUAGUCAUUGUGUUAAAAAAAAAAAAAAAAAGUGUUUUUUUCAUUCUAUUUCAUUUUGGUAAUUGAGUAGUAUAGCUAGUCUUUACAGACUGCUACAAAUCCAUUUAAUCCUUUAGAUUUUCCUGGCUUAGCUUUAAUUCAUCAAUAUUAGUGAUUUUUCAGAAUGUUUGGUGACGUGCCUCAGCACAUCUUUUGUGUUCUUGGUAAGUGUGACAGUAGAAUGAAAACAUGUACCAGGAGAGAGAACAAAAUUCAUUUCGUUUAAUUAAAGAGUUUGCAAGUAAUAUUUGUCAAUUUUUGUUAAUUAAAAAGAAAAAUAUCUACUCUUGAUCAUACAUUAUUUUCAUGUUUCAGACUUUUUGUAACAUUAAAAAAAAAAAAAAAAAAAAAAAAAAAAAAAGCUCCAGAUUUUUUUAGUAUAGUAAAGAAUGAGGAAACUAGUAAUGAUUUUAAAUGGUCAUUAUAUUGAUGCCAGAGGGAUAAUUCUAACCAGUUAAAGUUCUUAAUCCUGGGGCUAAAUAAGAUAAGUUUAUGUGAGGUGUUUUUUGUUUGGUUGGUUUUUUUUUUGUUGUUGUCUGUAUUUAAAGUUCUUACUUCAUGUAUAAAGAAGAACAGUACUUUAUUCAGGAAACUGCAGACAUUUAGAUUACUGUCAAAUG
This 1158-nucleotide long non-coding RNA is filed under the name Coturnix japonica (Japanese quail). RNAcentral's name for it is "lncRNA (ENSCJPG00005008378.1)". Lineage: Eukaryota; Metazoa; Chordata; Aves; Galliformes; Phasianidae. The record is from RNAcentral.